AGUGAACGCUGGCGGUAGGCCUAACACAUGCAAGUCGAACGGCAACACAGUAAGAGCUUGCUCUUACGGGUGGCGAGUGGCGGACGGGUGAGGAAUACAUCGGAAUCUACUUUUUCGUGGGGGAUAACGUAGGGAAACUUACGCUAAUACCGCAUACGACCUACGGGUGAAAGCAGGGGAUCUUCGGACCUUGCGCGAUUGAAUGAGCCGAUGUCGGAUUAGCUAGUUGGCGGGGUAAAGGCCCACCAAGGCGACGAUCCGUAGCUGGUCUGAGAGGAUGAUCAGCCACACUGGAACUGAGACACGGUCCAGACUCCUACGGGAGGCAGCAGUGGGGAAUAUUGGACAAUGGGCGCAAGCCUGAUCCAGCCAUACCGCGUGGGUGAAGAAGGUCUUCGGGUUGUAAAGCCCUUUUGUUGGGAAAGAAAAGCAGCAGGUUAAUACCCCGCUGUUCUGACGGUACCCAAAGAAUAAGCACCGGCUAACUUCGUG
This 492-nucleotide ribosomal RNA is filed under the name uncultured bacterium. Its description in RNAcentral is "partial 16S ribosomal RNA". It matches the Rfam family "Bacterial small subunit ribosomal RNA", at positions 29 to 507 of the family's 1533-position model. The record is from RNAcentral.